This 253-nucleotide ribosomal RNA is filed under the name uncultured bacterium. RNAcentral's name for it is "partial 16S ribosomal RNA". It matches the Rfam family "Bacterial small subunit ribosomal RNA", at positions 524 to 776 of the family's 1533-position model. The record is from RNAcentral.
UACGUAGGAUUCGAGCGUUAUCCGGAUUUAUUGGGUUUAAAGGGAGCGUAGGCGGGUUGUUAAGUCAGUUGUGAAAGUUUGCGGCUCAACCGUAAAAUUGCAGUUGAUACUGGCAUCCUUGAGUACAGUAGAGGUAGGCGGAAUUCGUGGUGUAGCGGUGAAAUGCUUAGAUAUCACGAAGAACUCCGAUUGCGAAGGCAGCCUGCUGGACUGUAACUGACGCUGAUGCUCGAAAGUGUGGGUAUCAAACAGG